CAAAAUGUGGCUAAACUNGUAAAGCACCUCCCUUACACCGNGGAAAUACUCGUGCAAUCCGAGUCAUUUUGA
This 72-nucleotide transfer RNA is filed under the name Carcharodon carcharias (great white shark). RNAcentral's name for it is "tRNA-Val". It matches the Rfam family "tRNA". From Rfam's summary of the family: Transfer RNA (tRNA) molecules are approximately 80 nucleotides in length. Their secondary structure includes four short double-helical elements and three loops (D, anti-codon, and T loops). The record is from RNAcentral. Lineage: Eukaryota; Metazoa; Chordata; Chondrichthyes; Lamniformes; Lamnidae.